Mus musculus (house mouse) is the source of this 707-nucleotide long non-coding RNA. RefSeq annotates it as predicted gene, 51919. The record is from RefSeq and is a predicted model, not a curated record. NCBI's taxonomy places the organism in Eukaryota, Metazoa, Chordata, Mammalia, Rodentia, Muridae. The transcript has 3 exons.
GGCCCAGAGAUGAUCUGAGGACCAGAGGGAAUUAUCUGCAAACAGGUUGGAGGACAAUGACAUAGGUCAAUUGAGACCUGACCAGAUGUGACUGUGCCAGCAUCUUCAGCAGUUUUAGACUGGGGGCACUCGUGGAAAAAUGAGGUUGGCGAACCUGGAGAUCACUGUGGUGGUGCCAAGGAGAAGUAGGGCACUAAGAAGGGUUAAAGGCAGCUGCUAGGCUGGGGGAGGAACAGGCACCUCAGAUGGGUGGAAAAUCUUGACACUGUCACCAUGAGGGACCUAGGCUGGCUGAAGAAUGACAAUCUUGGCUAUCUGAUAGUUACAGAAAGAUUUCUGUGAUAGUGACCAGCAAAGGAACGUGAGUUACCAAGGAGAUGUGAUCAAUCAUCACCUAUUCAAUUCUGUUGGCUUCAUAGAAAGCAUCUUCCCAAAACAUGGACCACAAUGGAGAAAAUUCUACCAGCAAAGCUUGGUUGUCAAGUUUAGGAACAAUGUUUCCUUUCCGGGGUGAUGAAGAGGUGACACAGAGGCUAAGAACACUCACAGUUCCUGCAGAAGACCUGUGCUUGGUUCUGAGUGUCCGCAUGGUGACUCAUAACUGUCUGUAACUCCAAUUCCAGGGGAUGUGAUUCCUUCCUCCGGUCUGCAAGGGAACUGCAAAACACUAUACAUAUAAAAUAAAAAUAAUUCUUUUUCAAAACUAA